AAGAAGCUCAGGACGAGGGGAGUCGAUCGCCACCCAACUUAGCUGUCAAAGCCGCUGGAAAUACCCGGAACGGCGUCCGAAAGCCAUUGCCUCCUUCGCGCUCUUUCGCUGCCGUUCCCUGCCGCCAGUGCUGCUGCCACGCUCGUUAUUACCAACCAUUUCAUUGGCCAGCUCCGCCGCACCCAGACAGUCAGCCACCGACAACCGCACGGCCGAUUUUCUUCUCCCCGCACGAUCUCUCUCUCUCUCCCAAUUCUCU
Molecule: long non-coding RNA, 259 nt
Filed under: Ricinus communis (castor bean)
Lineage: Eukaryota; Viridiplantae; Streptophyta; Magnoliopsida; Malpighiales; Euphorbiaceae
Description: long non-coding RNA (RCOM_LNC000462)
Source: RNAcentral